GAUGAAGAACGUAGCGAAAUGCGAUAAGUAGUGUGAAUUGCAGAAUACAGUGAAUCAUCGAAUCUUUGAACGCACAUUGCGCCUCCUGGCAUUCCGGGAGGCAUGCCUGUUCGAGCGUCAUCAAACCCCAUCGUGCAAAUGAAUUAUUUUUUUUGCGCGGAAGUGACGAUUGAGCGAGAAUAACAAAUCCUCUCGCACCUCGUCGACAUGAUUGCGGGCGGAAUUUGGGAUCGGGUUCCUCGGCGUAGUGUAUCAAUGCAUAUUUAUGCAACUUGCCGCGGAGUUGAGCCUGACCCACGCGUUCUCGCCGUACAAACACCUCAUUACUUUACAAGUUUUUGACCUCGGAUCAGGUAGGGAUACCCGCUGAACUUAAGCAUAUCAAUAAGCGGAGGA
Molecule: unclassified non-coding RNA, 396 nt
Filed under: soil metagenome
Description: partial contains 5.8S ribosomal RNA, internal transcribed spacer 2, and large subunit ribosomal RNA
Rfam family: 5.8S ribosomal RNA (bases 1-120)
Source: RNAcentral